RNAcentral lists this ribosomal RNA (923 nucleotides) under uncultured bacterium. RNAcentral's name for it is "bacterial SSU rRNA". It matches the Rfam family "Bacterial small subunit ribosomal RNA", at positions 8 to 916 of the family's 1533-position model. The record is from RNAcentral.
AGAGUUUGAUCAUGGCUCAGGACGAACGCUGGCGGCGUGCCUAACACAUGCAAGUCGAACGGUCCGGCACUCAACCGACCCUCAGUCUAACUGUAGGGGAAGUUGAGUGCCGGGUAGUGGCGGACGGGUGAGUAACGCGUGGGCAACCAACCCUGUACAGUGGGAUAACACCGGGAAACCGGUGCUAAUACCGCAUGACACCUAUAUGGUGCAUACCGUAUAGGUUAAAGGAUUUAACCGGUACAGGACGGGCCCGCGUCCCAUUAGCUAGUUGGUGAGGUAACGGCCCACCAAGGCGACGAUGGGUAGCCGACCUGAGAGGGUGACCGGCCACACUGGGACUGAGACACGGCCCAGACUCCUACGGGAGGCAGCAGUGGGGAAUAUUGCGCAAUGGGGGGAACCCUGACGCAGCGACGCCGCGUGAGCGACGAAGGCCUUCGGGUCGUAAAGCUCUGUUCUUGGGGACGAAGGAAAUGACGGUACCCAAGGAGAAAGCCCCGGCUAACUACGUGCCAGCAGCCGCGGUAAUACGUAGGGGGCGAGCGUUGUCCGGAAUUACUGGGCGUAAAGGGCGUGUAGGCGGCCGCGCAAGUCAAGUGUGAAACGCCACGGCUUAACCGAGGCAUUGCACAUGAAACUGCGUGGCUUGAGUGCAGGAGAGGGAAGUGGAAUUCCUAGUGUAGCGGUGAAAUGCGUAGAUAUUAGGAGGAACACCAGUGGCGAAGGCGACUUUCUGGACUGUAACUGACGCUGAGGCGCGAAAGCGUGGGUAGCAAACAGGAUUAGAUACCCUGGUAGUCCACGCUGUAAACGAUGGGUACUAGGUGUGGGUAGUUCACUCUAUCCGUGCCGCAGCAAACGCAAUAAGUACCCCGCCUGGGGAGUACGGCCGCAAGGUUGAAACUCAAAUGAAUUGACGG